AGGCUCCCGAGUGGUUCCUCGGGGUGCCCGAGGGAAUGGUGAUGGAGUGGCUGUGACUGAUGGGUGCCUCUUUUUGAAGCAGAGGGAUCCCAUGGUUGCUGUGAGAUCGUCUCAAACAUCCUUCGACAAGCCAGAAAGGGAAAGGAAGAGAUGCUGAGAGGCAGCAGCACUGCAGUAAGAAAUGAGCAGGUAUCAGUAUGCCAUACCCAGCAGUGCCACUGCUGCAGGACAGAAAGAAGCUUUUGGUUACCUG
Molecule: long non-coding RNA, 253 nt
Organism: Gallus gallus (chicken)
Lineage: Eukaryota; Metazoa; Chordata; Aves; Galliformes; Phasianidae
Source: Ensembl